UACGAAGGGGGCUAGCGUUGUUCGGAAUCACUGGGCGUAAAGGGCGCGUAGGCGGCUUUAUAAGUCGGGGGUGAAAUCCUGGAGCUCAACUCCAGAACUGCCUUUGAUACUGGCGAUCUUGAGUCCGGGAGAGGUGAGUGGAACUGCGAGUGUAGAGGUGAAAUUCGUAGAUAUUCGCAAGAACACCAGUGGCGAAGGCGGCUCACUGGCCCGGUACUGACGCUGAGGUGCGAAAGCGUGGGGAGCAAACAGG
RNAcentral lists this ribosomal RNA (253 nucleotides) under uncultured bacterium. RNAcentral's name for it is "partial 16S ribosomal RNA". It matches the Rfam family "Bacterial small subunit ribosomal RNA", at positions 524 to 776 of the family's 1533-position model. The record is from RNAcentral.